This is a long non-coding RNA of Cygnus atratus (black swan), 975 nucleotides long. RefSeq lists it as uncharacterized. The record is from RefSeq and is a predicted model, not a curated record. NCBI's taxonomy places the organism in Eukaryota, Metazoa, Chordata, Aves, Anseriformes, Anatidae. The transcript has 3 exons.
CUUAAAAAGAAAAAAAGAAGAAGAAAAAAAAAAGUAGUUUGGAGGAAGCAAGGAAGCACAUAGAGUGGCUUCUACAGCUGUUGUACAAUAGUUUCACAUCCAGCACCAACUGUAGUCUCAGGCUUCUGCAAAUGAAGGUUUUGCUUCUUCCAACGGGGGUGAAAAGGGAUUCAGCAGAAAGCCCGAGGGUAAGCACAGUCAGACCAGCAGCAGAAUUCACCCACGUGCCCUCAGCAUCCAGCUCAUCUCUCACCUCUCUCCUGUGCCUUUUGAAGUCAGUAUUGCGACACUCCACGGACUCCUGCUGCAAUCUGUGGCAGGUUACCACUACUCGUGCUUAUCAUCUUUGUCACGAUGUUUCCAUCCCAGGUACUCUCAGAAAAACCUGCACAGUUGGAGCUCGGCUGGUUACCCUCGGGGCAGUGCAAAGGAGAAGAGGCUGCUGCUCCCUGCUCCACCUUCUGGCUCUGCAGGGCAGGCAGCAGGAGCAGACUGUUUGCACUAAAGCAAACCAAGCAGAAGGAGCUUGAUAAUAAAUGGGAGGCAGAUAUCUGGCACCAAGGUGCUAGUUUUAUGGUUGGUUUUCCAAGCGUUUUAAAAUGCACUGGGAAAUUGAUUUGUCAUCAGGACAAGAGCCUGUGCUCAUCAGGUCUGUCAGGUUCAGUUUUCAGCUGAGUUAUCUGAUUCACUAGUGCUCUUUUCCUACCGUUCUAUUUAAGACAAAUAAAGGCUUCAAAUCCAUGUUGUAAUUUUCCCAGGCUUUUAUUGAAAUGCACAGGAGAGGGGCUCUGAAGAGCUAUUUAUUCGUGCUUUCCCCAUUAGCUCGUACAUGCCUGUAAAAACAAAAGGAGCAAAAAACCCCACUCUUGAUGCUUACACAAACCCAAACAAUUUACAGUCUUGUAACACCCUUACUCUUCUGGAAAUUUUUGGACAGUGUCAGUUCACACCAUCUGUUUGAACUAACGGUCCCCA